RNAcentral lists this ribosomal RNA (379 nucleotides) under uncultured bacterium. Its description in RNAcentral is "bacterial SSU rRNA". It matches the Rfam family "Bacterial small subunit ribosomal RNA", at positions 29 to 396 of the family's 1533-position model. The record is from RNAcentral.
AAUCAACGCUGGCGGCGUGCCUAACACAUGCAAGUCGAACGCGAAAGCCCCGCAAGGGGUAAGUAGAGUGGCAAACGGGUGAGUAACACGUGGGUGACCUACCUUCGAGUGGGGAUAACGUCCCGAAAGGGACGCUAAUACCGCAUAACAUCCUGCCUUUGAACAGGCGGUGAUCAAAGCUGGGGAUCGCAAGACCUAGCGCUGGACGAGGGGCCCGCGCCUGAUUAGCUAGNGGUGAGGUAACGGCUCACCAAGGCGACGAUCAGUAUCCGGCCUGAGAGGGCGGACGGACACACUGGGACUGAGACACGGCCCAGACUCCUACGGGAGGCAGCAGUGGGGAAUUGUUCGCAAUGGGCGCAAGCCUGACGACGCAACG